This is a long non-coding RNA of Lates calcarifer (barramundi perch), 1878 nucleotides long. RefSeq lists it as uncharacterized. The transcript has 3 exons. The record is from RefSeq and is a predicted model, not a curated record. Lineage: Eukaryota; Metazoa; Chordata; Actinopteri; Centropomidae.
GACCUCGAUCACUGCAGAGAGCCACUUCACAGAGGAUGAUAUCUUAUCAGUUGAUCUGCAUUAGAGGAUAAAAAGUCUCACACCUGGAUUACUACAGACAGUCUGCACUGGUGUCCACUUUACACUGAUCAUGGAGAUCAUUAAACCCUUCUGGACCGUCUACAACCUGUUUGACAGGAUGAACAACAAUGAUCAGCAGUGCCCCCACACCCUGGAGAAACUGGUGCUGAUCAUCAAGCUGAAAACAGCAGACCAACUUGAUGUGAAGAUGUGAAUGAAGCUUUGGAGAAACUGAACAGGACUGUGAUAUUAGCUGGUGAGCUAGUGAGAGUUCGACAGCCUGAACAAAAGUCUCACCGACGCCUUUCUGACCCUCUCCGUGGCUCUGCAUGUCCACCAGGAGAGGAUGCUGGAGGAGCAGGAGCUCAGAGCCUUGUCCACAGUUGGGGAGAUUUGACCCGGCCCUCUUUGUUUGAUGGUCAGAACCAGUUCCUUCAGGGCUUUGACUCUCUGGGCGACUCGUUGGCAGCGCUCCUUGUUGGCCUUCGUAUUCUCGACUGCCUGAUAGAUGGUCGAGCAUAUGCUCAAGAUAAGUUCUAUGUUAUCAGCUGAUGAUCAGCUGCAGAGACAGAGAGGCUGUUAGCUCGGCAUGAAAAUGUAAUAAGGGAUCAAGGAUCAAGGAUUUUGUUUUAAUUUUGUUACAGUUCUCACCAGUUCACUGUUGCUGGUUUGAAUCUCAGUCCGGUAAUAUGCUGAUUCUCUAUCUUAUCUCAUAUCUGUCAACCCUCUUCACAGUUUCUCACAGCUGACCCGGAUAAUAACAGAAAAAGCAUUGGAAUAUCCUUCAACCAGUGUCUGAAUCUGUUAUCAACCUGUCCAUCAACUCCGUCUUUGAGCUGCAGAGGUGUGAGAAAGACAAAGAACAUUUUAAUAAAACGCAUUUGUGAAGGUGGCUGUUGUCACAGGGAUAGUGGGCGGAGUUACUGUGACAUGAAAUCUGCAGGUAAAUCAGUUCAGUCAUGAAUACUUUCUGCAUGCUUUAGUUUAUGAGUCAGCACCAUUAAUUGGCUCCACUGCAGUUCUAUUAACUGUUCACAGACUCAUGACCAGCUUAAAGGGGCUGUUUUCACCUUCAGCUUCACCUGUCCACCAUGUUUAUAUUGACACAACCACUACAUACAUCCUCUCGCAGCAUUUGUCUACUAAAAUCAAAACAAUCAAGCAAGAAAUGUUGGUGCAGUUAUGGAAUCUGACCAAAAUUUUAACAGCCAUAUAAAGAAAACUUCAAAAUCAGUUUAUUACCACUUGAAUCAGAGGAUUUAUAUUUAAACAAGAUACAGAAAAACUUGUUUGUCAAAGAAUAGAUUUUUAAAUCCUGUGAAGCGCUAAAUGGUGUCAGGCCUAAACACGUCUCUGAUCCACUUGUACUUUUACAAAGCAUUAAGACCCCUUAGGUCAUGUGGGACAUUUUUAAUGAGUGUUCCCAGAAUCAAAACUAAACAAUGUGAAGCAGCUUUUAGUUCCUCUGCUUCUUGCACACCUUAGGUCUGCUAAACCUGUCGGCCUCGAACUGUCUUUAAAUCAGUUUAACAAUGAAUUACAUGCAUGAUCUCUAUUUAAACUAUUUCUUUAACAUCUUUUAAUGCUAUUUUAAUGUCCUGUCUUUAAUGUAUUUCUACUUUGAACUGCCUUGUGUCUGAAUGGUGCUGUGUAAAUAAACUUGUCUUGCCUUGUACAAAUGUAUAACAUUUAUCUGCCUUUAUAUAAUAUGUGCAUAGGUUUUUAUCCAUUGCAUGAAUCAUCGCAAAGCCAGGAAGGAAAACAAGUUUCACUCGACUUGAGUGUGAACUAUCCUUUUAGAUAUUCACUGAUUAUGGU